UACGAACUGUGCGAACGUUAUUCGGAAUCACUGGGCUUACAGGGUGCGUAGGCGGCUUUUCAAGUCAGGUGUGAAAGCCCCCGGCUCAACCGGGGAAUUGCGCUUGAAACUGGAGAGCUCGAGUCAGCUAGAGGUGCACGGAACUUCCAGUGGAGCGGUGAAAUGUGUUGAUAUUGGAAGGAACACCGGAGGCGAAAGCGGUGCACUGGGGCUGGUCUGACGCUGAGGCACGAAAGCAUGGGGAGCAAAAGGG
This 253-nucleotide ribosomal RNA is filed under the name uncultured bacterium. RNAcentral describes it as "partial 16S ribosomal RNA". It matches the Rfam family "Bacterial small subunit ribosomal RNA", at positions 524 to 776 of the family's 1533-position model. The record is from RNAcentral.